UCCGUAGGUGAACCUGCGGAGGGAUCAUUACACAACAAAAUAUGAAGGCCUGGCUUCGCGGCCGGCUGAAAUAUUUUUUUCACCCAUGUCUUUUGCGCACUUGUUGUUUCCUGGGCGGGUUCGCCCGCCACCAGGACCAAACCAUAAACCUUUUUUUUAUGCAGUUGCAAUCAGCGUCAGUAAAAACAAUGUAAUUAUUACAACUUUCAACAACGGAUCUCUUGGUUCUGGCAUCGAUGAAGAACGCAGCGAAAUGCGAUACGUAGUGUGAAUUGCAGAAUUCAGUGAAUCAUCGAAUCUUUGAACGCACAUUGCGCCCUUUGGUAUUCCAAAGGGCAUGCCUGUUCGAGCGUCAUUUGUACCUUCAAGCUUUGCUUGGUGUUGGGCGUUUUUUGUCUCCCUCUUUCUGGGAGACUCGCCUUAAAACGAUUGGCAGCCGGCCUACUGGUUUCGGAGCGCAGCACAUAUUUUGCGCUUUGUAUCAGGAGAAAAGGACGGUAAUCCAUCAAGACUCUACAUUUUUAACUUUUGACCUCGGAUCAGGUAGGGAUACCCGCUGAACCUAAGCAUAUCAAUAAGCGGAGGA
RNAcentral lists this ribosomal RNA (586 nucleotides) under Bipolaris sorokiniana. RNAcentral's name for it is "eukaryotic LSU rRNA". The stretch from base 202 to 355 matches the Rfam family "5.8S ribosomal RNA". Lineage: Eukaryota; Fungi; Ascomycota; Dothideomycetes; Pleosporales; Pleosporaceae. The record is from RNAcentral.